RNAcentral lists this ribosomal RNA (442 nucleotides) under uncultured eukaryote. RNAcentral's name for it is "bacterial SSU rRNA". It matches the Rfam family "Eukaryotic small subunit ribosomal RNA", at positions 626 to 1038 of the family's 1831-position model. The record is from RNAcentral.
UCGAUUCUGUUCUUAAUUGAAUGGAGUAGCUAUCUCUCGGGGUGGUCAAUUGGUUGUUAUAUCUCCACUAAUAAGCAGAGAGGGGUAAAACCUUCAAAGUGAGUUAUGUGGGUCAAGGUAUGAUGAUUAAUUGGAGUUCUAGUUCAUUUACUUUGAGAAAAUUAGAGUGUUUAAAGCAGCCUCUUGGGGCACUGAAUACAUUAGCAUGGGAUAAUAAAAUAGGAUCUUCACAAUAUAUUUUAUUGGUUUAAAUUGCGUAUGAAGAUAAUGAUUAAUAGGGACAGUUGGGGGUAGUUCAUAUUGGUGGUUAGCGGUGAAAUGCUCGGAUCCAUUCAAGAUGAACUAAAGCGAAGGCAUUUUACCAAGGAUGUUUUCAUUAAUCAAGAACGAAAGUUAAGGGAUCGAAGACGAUUAGAUACCGUCGUAGUCUUAACUAUAAACU